UAUGCCAUGGACCGGGGAAGGAUGAGAAGCUUCGACGAAGGUUCGCGUCGAGCGACAGCGAGACAACGUUGCCGCAGGCAACGGCCC
This 87-nucleotide small RNA is filed under the name Cronobacter sakazakii. Its description in RNAcentral is "partial RtT sRNA". It matches the Rfam family "RtT RNA", at positions 1 to 85 of the family's 130-position model. Rfam says of the family: This family represents a bacterial cis-regulatory element known as RtT RNA. The record is from RNAcentral. Lineage: Bacteria; Pseudomonadati; Pseudomonadota; Gammaproteobacteria; Enterobacterales; Enterobacteriaceae.